CCCUUAGAUGUUCUGGGCCGCACGCGUGCUACACUGAGUGGAUCAGCGGGCCAGGUUGCGCGAAAGCGUUUCCUAAUCUUUAAAUCCGCUCGUGAUGGGGAUUGACGGUUGCAAUUUUCUGUCAUGAACGAGGAAUACCUUGUAAGCGCGGGUCAUCAUCCCGCGCUGAAUACGUCCCUGCCCUUUGUACACACCGCCCGUCGCUCCUACCGAUUGAGUGGUCCGGUGAGGCUUUGGGAUCUGAGCGGAAAGAGCGUUUCGCUGUUUCUGCUCGGAAAACUCAGUCGAACCUUAUCAUUUAGAGGAAGGAGAAGUCGUAACA
Molecule: ribosomal RNA, 322 nt
Filed under: uncultured eukaryote
Lineage: Eukaryota
Description: partial 18S ribosomal RNA
Rfam family: Eukaryotic small subunit ribosomal RNA
Source: RNAcentral